GGUUAAGUGAAUAAGGGCGCACGGUGGAUGCCUUGGCACUAGGAGCCGAUGAAGGACGGGACUAACACCGAUAUGCUUUGGGGAGCUGUACGUAAGCUAUGAUCCAGAGAUUUCCGAAUGGGGGAACCCAGCAUCUUUAAUAGGAUGUUACGAUUGUGUGAAUACAUAGCACAUUCGAGGUAGACGCAGAGAACUGAAACAUCUAAGUACCUGCAGGAAGAGAAAGAAAAUUCGAUUCCCUGAGUAGCGGCGAGCGAAACGGGAAAAGCCCAAACCAACAAGCUUGCUUGUUGGGGUUGUAGGACUCCGAUAUGGUCGUUCUUUCAGAUAGUCGAAUGACUUGGAAAAGUCAGUCAAAGAGGGUAAAAACCCCGUAGACGAAAUGUGGAAGACACCUAGGAGGAUCCUGAGUACGGCGGAACACGAGAAAUUCCGUCGGAAUCCGGGAGGACCAUCUCCCAAGGCUAAAUACUCCCUAGUGACCGAUAGUGAACCAGUACCGUGAGG
This 507-nucleotide ribosomal RNA is filed under the name Enterococcus faecium. RNAcentral describes it as "partial 23S ribosomal RNA". It matches the Rfam family "Bacterial large subunit ribosomal RNA", at positions 1 to 508 of the family's 2925-position model. Lineage: Bacteria; Bacillati; Bacillota; Bacilli; Lactobacillales; Enterococcaceae. The record is from RNAcentral.